Molecule: non-coding RNA, 245 nt
Organism: Schizosaccharomyces pombe (fission yeast)
Lineage: Eukaryota; Fungi; Ascomycota; Schizosaccharomycetes; Schizosaccharomycetales; Schizosaccharomycetaceae
Source: the annotation of a GenBank genome assembly
AAUUGGGGGUACUUUUGUUCAACUGGGUCUAUUUGUAAUAUUGGGUUUUCUGUAAACAAUAAGGUAAUGAGCAUCACAAGCAUAUGCGCACUGUGAUGGAGGAAUACAAACUUCAAAAAGGUAUAGAUAUCUAAGAUUCACUUGAAUGUUUUGUCAAAUGAGCCGCACUGUUCUUUUGGCAUAAUUUAAUGGAUUAACUUGAAAGCAAUGUGCGGUUGUAAGAAGUAUAAGUAAAUUGUAGCGAG